This 465-nucleotide ribosomal RNA is filed under the name Vreelandella stevensii. RNAcentral's name for it is "partial 16S ribosomal RNA". It matches the Rfam family "Bacterial small subunit ribosomal RNA", at positions 338 to 795 of the family's 1533-position model. The record is from RNAcentral. Lineage: Bacteria; Pseudomonadati; Pseudomonadota; Gammaproteobacteria; Oceanospirillales; Halomonadaceae.
CCUACGGGUGGCAGCAGUGGGGAAUAUUGGACAAUGGGCGAAAGCCUGAUCCAGCCAUGCCGCGUGUGUGAAGAAGGCCUUCGGGUUGUAAAGCACUUUCAGUGGGGAAGAAAGCCUUGGGGCUAAUACCCUCGAGGAAGGACAUCACCCACAGAAGAAGCACCGGCUAACUCCGUGCCAGCAGCCGCGGUAAUACGGAGGGUGCGAGCGUUAAUCGGAAUUACUGGGCGUAAAGCGCGCGUAGGCGGUCUGAUAAGCCGGUUGUGAAAGCCCCGGGCUCAACCUGGGAACGGCAUCCGGAACUGUCAGGCUAGGGUGCAGGAGAGGAAGGUAGAAUUCCCGGUGUAGCGGUGAAAUGCGUAGAGAUCGGGAGGAAUACCAGUGGCGAAGGCGGCCUUCUGGACUGACACUGACGCUGAGGUGCGAAAGCGUGGGUAGCAAACAGGAUUAGAUACCCCUGUAGUC